UGGGGAAUAUUGGACAAUGGGCGCAAGCCUGAUCCAGCCAUGCCGCGUGGGUGAAGAAGGCCUUCGGGUUGUAAAGCCCUUUUGUUGGGAAAGAAAAGCAGUCGGUUAAUACCCGAUUGUUCUGACGGUACCCAAAGAAUAAGCACCGGCUAACUUCGUGCCAGCAGCCGCGGUAAUACGAAGGGUGCAAGCGUUACUCGGAAUUACUGGGCGUAAAGCGUGCGUAGGUGGUUUGUUAAGUCUGAUGUGAAAGCCCUGGGCUCAACCUGGGAAUUGCAUUGGAUACUGGCAGGCUGGAGUGCGGUAGAGGGUAGUGGAAUUCCCGGUGUAGCAGUGAAAUGCGUAGAGAUCGGGAGGAACAUCCGUGGCGAAGGCGACUACCUGGACCAGCACUGACACUGAGGCACGAAAGCGUGGGGAGCAAACAGGAUUAGAUACCCUGGUAGUCCACGCCCUAAACGAUGCGAACUGGAUGUUGGGUUCAAUUAGGAACUCAGUAUCGAAGCUAACGCGUUAAGUUCGCCGCCUGGGGAGUACGGUCGCAAGACUGAAACUCAAAUGAAUUGACGGGGUCAUAGCUG
This 581-nucleotide ribosomal RNA is filed under the name uncultured bacterium. RNAcentral describes it as "partial 16S ribosomal RNA". It matches the Rfam family "Bacterial small subunit ribosomal RNA", at positions 355 to 932 of the family's 1533-position model. The record is from RNAcentral.